RNAcentral lists this ribosomal RNA (565 nucleotides) under bacterium enrichment culture clone LH02. Its description in RNAcentral is "bacterial SSU rRNA". It matches the Rfam family "Bacterial small subunit ribosomal RNA", at positions 367 to 920 of the family's 1533-position model. The record is from RNAcentral.
CACGACGUAUGACGACGUCUGACGGAGCAACGCCGCGUGAGCGAUGAAGGCCUUCGGGUCGUAAAGCUCUGUUGUCAGGGAAGAACAAGUACCGGAGUAACUGCCGGUACCUUGACGGUACCUGACCAGAAAGCCACGGCUAACUACGUGCCAGCAGCCGCGGUAAUACGUAGGUGGCAAGCGUUGUCCGGAAUUAUUGGGCGUAAAGCGCGCGCAGGCGGUUCCUUAAGUCUGAUGUGAAAGCCCCCGGCUCAACCGGGGAGGGUCAUUGGAAACUGGGGAACUUGAGUGCAGAAGAGGAGAGCGGAAUUCCACGUGUAGCGGUGAAAUGCGUAGAGAUGUGGAGGAACACCAGUGGCGAAGGCGGCUCUCUGGUCUGUAACUGACGCUGAGGCGCGAAAGCGUGGGGAGCGAACAGGAUUAGAUACCCUGGUAGUCCACGCCGUAAACGAUGAGUGCUAAGUGUUAGAGGGUUUCCGCCCUUUAGUGCUGCAGCAAACGCAUUAAGCACUCCGCCUGGGGAGUACGGCCGCAAGGCUGAAACUCAAAUGAAAUUGACGGCACC